GGCUUUGUAUUCAAAUAUGAUAUUAGACUGCAAUUCUAAAGGUGUAUUUAUUAUACUAAGGCCU
This 64-nucleotide transfer RNA is filed under the name Gonista bicolor. RNAcentral describes it as "tRNA-Cys". The record is from RNAcentral. Lineage: Eukaryota; Metazoa; Arthropoda; Insecta; Orthoptera; Acrididae.